GUCUAAGGUUUCCUGGGGAAGGUUCGUCCUCCCAGGGUAAGCCGGGAGCUAAGGCGAGGCCGCAAGGCGUAGUCGAUGCACAUACGGUAGAAAUUCCGUAGCCGGCUCAACUGUUAAGCAUACUGACACAUGAGAGUAGCUCUACCGGGCGUUGGUUGCCCCGGGCGUAAGCGAGCCGAAUGAGGCGAAGUGAGUGAAUCUUGUGGCGAGAAAAGGUGUGUGGAUUGGUUGAGCUGCCCGUACCGCAAACCGACACAGGUAGAUGAGGAGAAGAUCCUAAGGCCAUCGGGAGAAGGGUUGUUAAGGAACUAGGCAAAUUGACCCCGUAACUUCGGGAGAAGGGGUGCCUACGAGAGUAGGCCGCAGAGAAUCGGCCCAAGCAACUGUUUACCAAAAACACAGGUCUCUGCUAAAUCGAAAGAUGACGUAUAGGGGCUGACGCCUGCCCGGUGCUGGAAGGUUAAGAGGAGGACUUAGUGGCAACACGAAGGCCCGAAUUGAAGCCCCAGUAAACGGCGGCCGUAACUAUAACGGUCCUAAGGUAGCGAAAUUCCUUGUCAGGUAAGUUCUGACCCGCACGAAAGGCGUAAUGAUUUGGGCACUGUCUCAACAGCCCGCCCGGCGAAAUUGUAGUACCGGUGAAGAUGCCGGUUACCCGCAACUAGACGGAAAGACCCCAUGAGCUUUACUGCAGCUUAAUACUGAGAUUCGGUAAAUCAUGUACAGGAUAGGUGGGAGACAGAGAAACCAGGCCGUCAGGUUUGGUGGAGUCACCCCUGGGAUACCACCCUUGGUUUGCUGGGUUUCUAACCUGCGGCCCUGAAUCGGGUCGGGGGACACUGUUAGGCGGGCAGUUUGACUGGGGCGGUCGCCUCCUAAAAUGUAACGGAGGCGCUCAAAGGUUGGCUCAGCAUGGAUGGAAACCAUGCAAUGAGUGUAAACGUAUAAGCCAGCCUGACUGCGAGACCGACGGGUCGAGCAGAGACGAAAGUCGGAGCUAGUGAUCCGGUGGUAUGUGAGUGGAAAUGCCAUCGCUCAAUGGAUAAAAGCUACCCUGGGGAUAACAGGCUGAUCUCCCCCAAGCGUCCACAGCGACGGGGAGGUUUGGCACCUCGAUGUCGGCUCGUCGCAUCCUGGGGCUGAAUUAGGUCCCAAGGGUUUGGCUGUUCGCCAAUUAAAGCGGCACGCGAGCUGGGUUCAGAACGUCGUGAGACAGUUCGGCCCCUAUCUGUUGCGGGCGUAGGAGAUUUGAAGGGAGCUGACCUUAGUACGAGAGGACCGGGUUGGACGUACCUCUGGUGUACCAGUUGUUCUGCCAAGGGCAUGGCUGGGUAGCUACGUACGGACGAGAUAAACGCUGAAGGCAUCUAAGCGUGAAACUCUCCCUGAGAUAGGAUCUCCACUGAGGCUCGACGUAGACUAUGUCGUUGAUAGGUCAGAGGUGGAAGCACAGCAAUGUGUGCAGCUGACUGAUACUAAUAAGCCGAAAGCUUGACCG
This 1498-nucleotide ribosomal RNA is filed under the name metagenome. RNAcentral describes it as "bacterial LSU rRNA". It matches the Rfam family "Bacterial large subunit ribosomal RNA", at positions 1343 to 2925 of the family's 2925-position model. The record is from RNAcentral.